GGGUCAGUAGGUUGGUCGUGCCACCGGUACGUACUGGUCUCACUGAUUCCUCCUUCCUGAAGAACCGUAAUGCCAUUAAUUUGGUGUGGCGGGGAAACAGGACUCUUACUUUGAAAAAAUUAGAGUGUUUAAAGCAAGCUAACGCUUGAAUACAUUAGGAUGGUAUAAUGAAAUAGGACGAUCGAUCCUAUUUUGUUGGUUUCUAGGAUUGACGUA
RNAcentral lists this ribosomal RNA (216 nucleotides) under Glomeromycotina sp. RNAcentral describes it as "partial small subunit ribosomal RNA". The stretch from base 40 to 216 matches the Rfam family "Eukaryotic small subunit ribosomal RNA", at positions 686 to 864 of the family's 1831-position model. The record is from RNAcentral. Lineage: Eukaryota; Fungi; Glomeromycota.